UUAGAAGUUGUAUUAAUUGUUAAUUAUUAGGUUUGUGUGCCUUUUGCAUCAUGCUUAUGUGAUAUUUUAGACUAUUUCUUACUAUCGAAAAGUUUGGAUCUACCCCGGUAACUGCUCAGCGGUGGUAAAUUGGGUAAAUAUUUUAUAGAUUAUGGGGGUAGGAGUGAUAAGUUAAUCGGCAAAUUUUAUAGCUAUUUAACGGUUGAGUAUUUGAUUUAGUAAUUGGGCAAUGAUGUCAAGUUACUGAGUAUACUUUGUUUAUAUUUUAAUUUAUAAAGGGUUAAAGAUACCUUUAUAUUGAGUGUCUGUUAAAAGUCUUUAUUAUAUGGUUUUUGUUACUUUAGUCUACCGUUUGUUUUUAAUAGUUUGUGGCUUUUUAUGCUUAAAUUAGUAAUAUUAUCAGUGCUUUUGUUUCUCAAGCACUUUCCGUCUGUUUAUUAAAAACAUUUCUAUGGUUAAUAGUCUAUAGUAGUACCUGCCCUAUGUUUAUAUAAAUGGCCGCAGUAUAUUGACUGUGCGAAGGUAGCAUAAUUAAUUGCCUUAUAAUUGAAGGCUUGUUUGAAUGGUUUGACGGGAGAGUUGUUAACAUUAGUUCUUUACUUGAAAUUAGUUUGGAGGGCACAGAAACCUCCGUUUGUUAAUUAGACGGAAAGACCCCGGGAUCUUUUUAUUUUGCCUGGGGCAGGUGUAAGUUUUUCACUUAUAUUAAGACCCUUUUAAGGUUUAUUGGGUUAAGUUACCCCGGGGAUAACAGUAUCAUAGUUUAAUAGAGAUCCUAUCGAAUAAACUGUUUGUUACCUCGAUGUUGACUUAGGUUUAACGACUGGCGCAGUAGUUAGUCGUUAAGGUCUGUUCGACCUUUAUGGCCUCCAUGAGUUGAGUUAAGACCGGUGUAAGCCAGGUCGGUUCUUAUCUAUUUUUCUAGCCUACUAGUACGAAAGGACCUUAGGUUGUUUUUUU
RNAcentral lists this ribosomal RNA (960 nucleotides) under Rhinebothrium sp. 1. RNAcentral's name for it is "16S ribosomal RNA". The stretch from base 640 to 918 matches the Rfam family "Bacterial large subunit ribosomal RNA", at positions 2074 to 2646 of the family's 2925-position model. The record is from RNAcentral. Lineage: Eukaryota; Metazoa; Platyhelminthes; Cestoda; Rhinebothriidea; Rhinebothriidae.